Molecule: ribosomal RNA, 253 nt
Filed under: uncultured bacterium
Lineage: Bacteria
Description: partial 16S ribosomal RNA
Rfam family: Bacterial small subunit ribosomal RNA
Source: RNAcentral
UACGUAGGGUGCGAGCGUUAAUCGGAAUUACUGGGCGUAAAGUGUGCGCAGGUGGCUUCGCAAGUCGAGUGUGAAAUCCCCGGGCUUAACCUGGGAAUUGCGCUCGAAACUACGUGGCUAGAGUGUGGCAGAGGGAGGUGGAAUUCCACGUGUAGCGGUGAAAUGCGUAGAGAUGUGGAGGAACACCAAUGGCGAAGGCAGCCUCCUGGGUCAACACCGACACUCAUGCACGAAAGCGUGGGGAGCAAACAGG